RNAcentral lists this ribosomal RNA (482 nucleotides) under uncultured bacterium. Its description in RNAcentral is "partial 16S ribosomal RNA". It matches the Rfam family "Bacterial small subunit ribosomal RNA", at positions 30 to 507 of the family's 1533-position model. The record is from RNAcentral.
AUUGAACGCUGGCGGCAUGCUUGACAAAUGCAAGUCGAACGGUAACAGGCCGCAAGGUGCGGACGAGUGGCGAACGGGUGAGUAAUGCAUCGGAACGUGCCCAGUCGUGGGGGAUAACUACUCGAAAGAGUAGCUAAUACCGCAUACGAUCUAUGGAUGAAAGCGGGGGACCGUAAGGCCUCGCGCGAUUGGAGCGGCCGAUGUCAGAUUAGGUAGUUGGUGGGGUAAAGGCUCACCAAGCCAACGAUCUGUAGCUGGUCUGAGAGGACAACCAGCCACACUGGGACUGAGACACGGCCCAGACUCCUACGGGAGGCAGCAGUGGGGAAUUUUGGACAAUGGGCGCAAGCCUGAUCCAGCAAUGCCGCGUGCAGGAAGAAGGCCUUCGGGUUGUAAACUGCUUUUGUACGGAACGAAACGGCUCUGGUUAAUACCCGGGGCUAAUGACGGUACCGUAAGAAUAAGCACCGGCUACCUACGUG